This 1419-nucleotide long non-coding RNA is filed under the name Ananas comosus (pineapple). RNAcentral describes it as "long non-coding RNA (ACOM_LNC009504)". The record is from RNAcentral. Lineage: Eukaryota; Viridiplantae; Streptophyta; Magnoliopsida; Poales; Bromeliaceae.
GCAAAAUAGGCUUAUAAUGUGUAGAUUACAAUCUCUUUGAGCUUCCACUUCAGAACUCUAACCACAAGAUUGUGAUCAUCAGCACCGUGCCAAUACCCAAUCGAUCUUCUAGAGCGCAUCUGGGCAAUCGACACAAUUCAGAGAUUAGGGAUCGACCACCAUUUUCGGAAGGAAAUAUACGACACUCUCGACUAUGUAUAUAGGUAAUGCCGAAAAGAAACAUUUGAACCAUUCUAUACUUGAAAUACUCGAAAACCAGCCUAUACUUGAUUCCAUGGAAUCUAAAUUAUGAUAAGAGAUCUUCUUAAGCUACAAAAGAUGUGGAUUUCAAAAUUUGCAUUUGAGCGGAAUUUUUCUUUUCGACUCAUAUUAUCUCUCUACAGGAAUGCCGGCAAACAAGGAGUUUCUUGGGGCAGAGACAAUCCUGUCCCUGACAUCGAUGAUACUUGCAUGGCUCUCCGCCUAAUGCGGUUGCAAGGAUUUCCUGUGUCCUCAGGUAAAAGUUUUAUGUCGAUGUAACAAUCUAGCAAUAAAGUUUGAUCAGAUUUUCUCAUUAAUGUUUCAUCGUCGACAAUUUAGUCCUCGUAAGUGCGAUUCUAGUACAAACCAUUAAAACAAUUUGUACCUGAACAGAUGUCCUGGAGUACUUCAAAGACGAUGACGGCACCUUGAUAUGCUUUCCAGGACAAACUCAUCGAGGAGUCUCCGACAUGUUCAACUUAUACAGGUACUCCCAGGUUGCCUUCCCGGGGGAGAAGAUACUGAAAGAAGCCAAAGCUUUUGCCGAAGAGUACUUAAAGAACUGCGUCGAAAACAACGAAGUUAACGACAAGUGGUCCUUAAAGAAGGCCUUGGACAAAGAGGUACACUUUCCGUAAAAUACAUAUAGAGGCAGUUGUUAGGAAUCUUUCAUGAUAUUUUCAACACGCAAGUAAAUUUCAAGUCCUAAAUUCUAAAGCUAUCACAUGAGUAGGUCGAUCAUGCCCUAAAAGUACCGUGGAGGAUGAGUUUUGAGAGGCUCGAAGCACGGGAGUACAUCGACCAAUACGGCGAACUAGAUGUCUGGAUUGCCAAGACCAUCUACUGGUAUGUCGACGCCCUAUGAAAUAAUAAUUCUGCAUAGUUUACAUAUUAAUCAACUAAGUUUUAUCACUUAGGAUGUAUAAUGUCAAUGAUCCGAAGUACAUGGAACUCGCCAAGCUAGACUACAACAAGCUCCAAACACUGUACAAAGCGGAGAUCGACUCCAUUCUAAAGUAAGUUUAGCUCUUGUUAUAAUCUGAUAAAAGCAUAUAAUGAAUUGAAUUAACAUGAACUCUUACAUUUGUUUCAGAUGGUGGAAUAGUUGCAGCUUUGAUGACCCUCUUGUCGGCAAUGCAUGCCCUAGAGAGACCCACUUUGCUAUUGCCGCGACUCUUU